This 831-nucleotide ribosomal RNA is filed under the name uncultured bacterium. Its description in RNAcentral is "bacterial SSU rRNA". It matches the Rfam family "Bacterial small subunit ribosomal RNA", at positions 56 to 885 of the family's 1533-position model. The record is from RNAcentral.
UGCAGUCGAACGGGCCAGGGGGCAACUUCUGGUCAGUGGCGAACGGGUGAGUAAUGCAUCGGAACGUGCCCCGUAGUGGGGGAUAACGCCGCGAAAGCGGCGCUAAUACCGCAUAUGCUCUACGGAGGAAAGUGGGGGACCCGCAAGGGCCUCACGCUAUGGGAGCGGCCGAUGUCCGAUUAGCUUGUUGGUGGGGUAAUGGCCCACCAAGGCGACGAUCGGUAGCUGGUCUGAGAGGAUGAUCAGCCACACUGGGACUGAGACACGGCCCAGACUCCUACGGGAGGCAGCAGUGGGGAAUUUUGGACAAUGGGGGCAACCCUGAUCCAGCCAUGCCGCGUGCGGGAAGAAGGCCUUCGGGUUGUAAACCGCUUUUAGCCGGAAAGAAAAGGCUCGUCCUAAUACGGCGGGUUCUUGACGGUACCGGCGGAAUAAGCACCGGCUAACUACGUGCCAGCAGCCGCGGUAAUACGUAGGGUGCGAGCGUUAAUCGGAAUUACUGGGCGUAAAGCGUGCGCAGGCGGUUCGUUGUGUCUGAUGUGAAAGCCCCGGGCUCAACCCGGGAAUGGCAUUGGAAACUGGCGGACUUGAGUGUGGCAGAGGGGGGUGGAAUUCCGCGUGUAGCAGUGAAAUGCGUAGAGAUGCGGAGGAACACCGAUGGCGAAGGCAGCCCCCUGGGCCAACACUGACGCUCAGGCACGAAAGCAUGGGGAGCAAACAGGAUUAGAUACCCUGGUAGUCCACGCCCUAAACGAUGUCGACUGGGGUGUCGGGGGAGAGAUCUCUUGGUACCGUAGCUAACGCGUGAAGUCGACCGCCUGGGGAGUACGG